GCAUUCUGUGCCAGCCAAGGUUAUAUGCUGAAGUCUUAUAGUUGGAUUUGAACUCGUGAAGUGCUCGCACAAAGGCAAAAACUGCUCUCAUCUGAGUUAAAUUGACCCUGUUGGGUUGAUACAGGCAGAAGGUGGAGUCUAGCACAGCCAAGUGCAAAAUAUCCAGAAAUAUGGUAAACUGUGAAGAAGAUAAAUUUAUGGAGGAUCUUGGUUAACAAGAAACAAGAUGGUUUUCAGUGAGAUAGAUCCACAGGAUUUACCAGCUUCAUGCUGAGAAUCUAAGACCCGCUGAAUACUUAUCAUUGAACUAUAAGCUUCUUCCUCUUUCAGUUAAUGGCACUGACACAGCUUGCUGAAGCUGUUGUUCUGAAAAUUAAUCCUAUGUAUUUAAGUUUGUUUUAUAAUACUAGCCUUACACAGCCUGGCUAUUAAUGUGUUGUCAAUAUUCCAUAAACAAUUUGGCAUAUUAGUAUUUAUCUAUCCACUGAAGACUUGCUUCAGCAAAUGCUGAUCCUUAACACUGCUCAUUCAUCUAUCUGAAUUGACACCAGGAAUGCUUCUGCUGAUUUAUGGCAAGAUUUAUCAAGAACCAACAUGCAAAUCUUAAUGACAUUUAGACUGGAUGUGAUAAGUGCAGGUGAUGGUAAAAUGAUGUUUGUAGAAAGUAUCUGUAGGAUCUAUUCACAAGACUGGGUGGGUGGUAACCAUUUCAGCCCGGGGCAGUGUCAACAGGCAUGGAUGCAAAGGGUUACUAAAAUGUACGCCAAUAAAUCAUUCAUCACUCAAGUAUUGUAACCUAUAUGCUUACCAUUUACUAAUGCCUAGCGUUUGCGAUACAGCUGACCUGAUUCAUAUCUUUUGAUAUGUUUUAAAUGCCCCACAGUGAUGUUUCUUUAGGUCUGUUUAUACAUAUAGAGGAAUGCUUUCUUCUUCUGUGGGCCUCUUUGGGAUGUAUAUAAGGAACCCUACUGAAAUGCAUAUUAUAUUCUUAGAACCCAAGGUGCCAAUACUGUCAUCAUUUGAUUAUUUUAACAGCAACAAAUGGAAAAGCAAGUUGUGUCAGAUUUUCCACUGGGAGAGUUAGUUCUAUAGGCCUUAUUGGCAGAAACUGGGGCAAUCAGAAUUCAUCUGCAAUUACACUCAUUUUGUAUUUCUCAAGUGACUUAACCGGCCCUUAAUGAGUGAGACAAUGGCCAAAGACCUUAAUCCACAUCCAGUGGAAAAGCUGUAGGAAAUUAAGCAGACCAGCUUUGUGCGUCUUGAAUCCUGAUCGAGAUCAUCUCUGGAUUUUGAACAACAAAUUUACAGAUCCACGGCAUGCGUCUCAAUCACCUCUCAGUUUUGAAAUCAGGGACAAAGGCAAACUCUAAUUCAACCUCUUGUGUAGAGUAUGUUGCAACUUUUAUUUAAAUUCAUGCUUUUUCCUUGUAAUAAAUUUUUUUAAUUCU
This is a long non-coding RNA of Carcharodon carcharias (great white shark), 1448 nucleotides long. RefSeq lists it as uncharacterized. The record is from RefSeq and is a predicted model, not a curated record. NCBI's taxonomy places the organism in Eukaryota, Metazoa, Chordata, Chondrichthyes, Lamniformes, Lamnidae. The transcript is spliced from 2 exons.